This 900-nucleotide long non-coding RNA is filed under the name Nicotiana benthamiana. Its description in RNAcentral is "long non-coding RNA (NBEN_LNC035723)". The record is from RNAcentral. Lineage: Eukaryota; Viridiplantae; Streptophyta; Magnoliopsida; Solanales; Solanaceae.
AGACUAUCAUUUGUCUAAAUUAAACCACAUCAAGACCUACUAUAUGAAUGAUUAUAGCAAGGAAACGUAACGUACAUUCUUCAAGUAAUUUAAGAUAUCAAAACAUACAGAUCAACCUAAAUUCUCUUCAAGUCGCAAAAUAGAAAUUGCCAAAUACUAAUAUAGUCACAUCUAUUUACAAGUUCAACUAAAUGUUCAUUGCUUUCAUCUACGUAUACAUAUACAAGAAAAAUUAGAAUCUUUAAUAAGAUUAUUCUCAUUCUAAAUUCACUGUCUGUCAAAUAAAACUGUGGGCGUCUCUCGUUCAAAAUAUCAACGAACAUGUAGAGACAACCUCCGAUGACUUUGUUUCUUCCAAUGCAAGGAAGAUUUUGAAGCAAGUUUAUUAGCCUUAGGAUCGAACUUGUUGCCACAACUAGGGCACAUAAUGAUAGUACUAACUGAGCCCGCACCAGUACUAUAUUUGGUCUUGGUAGAGUAAUAUUUGCACCAUCUGCUGCACCUAGGGCACUUCUUCUUCUCAACUAUUGAAUUAACUUCACGUCGAACUCGAACAUGACCAUGACCAUGACAUGAUCAUGAGAAUAGAUGCCGUGACGAAUAACCGAUAUAUCAUUCAUGGAUAUUUCACUAGAUAUGCCUGAACUUUUAUCAGUUGUUUGAUCAUGAGAUAUUGAAUAAUAAUCCAACUUAUUUUCAUCUUCUUGUUGUGUACUGACCCUUGGACUAGCGUGAUAAUUCAUCAAGAUGAGUUCUUGGACUUUAGUUCCGCCUUGUAUUUUGUUAUCAUCUGAUUCCUUGAACUGAAAAUUAAAGGAAAAAAGAUCCAGCAAUUUCUUCUUCAAUGAUUGAUGAAAUAGGUGGUUGGCCAUUGAGGAACUGAAUAGAAGAACAUGCAAA